CCCUUAGAUGCUCUGGGCCGCACGCGCGCUACACUGGUCGAUGCAACGAGUUUCUUUCCUUGGCCGACAGGCCUGGGCAAUCUUUGAACAUCGAUCGUGAUCGGGAUAGAUUCUUGUAAUUUUUGAUCUUAAACGAGGAAUUCCUAGUAAACGCAAGUCAUCAGCUUGCAUUGAUUACGUCCCUGCCCUUUGUACACACCGCCCGUCGCACCUACCGAUUGAAUGGUCCGGUGAAAUCUCCGGACUGGCGUGAGUCGGAGCAAUCUGACAAACGCCGGAAAGUUGAUUAAACCUUACCAUUUAGAGGAAGGUGAAGUCGUAACA
RNAcentral lists this ribosomal RNA (324 nucleotides) under uncultured eukaryote. RNAcentral describes it as "partial 18S ribosomal RNA". It matches the Rfam family "Eukaryotic small subunit ribosomal RNA", at positions 1470 to 1796 of the family's 1831-position model. The record is from RNAcentral.